AGUCUAAACGAAUCCCACAACCCUCUGAGAAUCCAAAUGGAUAAGAAACACGCGGACUAUAAGAACCAGCAGCUCCACAGUACUGAUUGCACUUAGUUGAAUUAGUAGCCUCAACUGACGAUGAUAACCAACCCAAUAAAAUUGAGAAAACGAAUCUAAUAAUAAUGAUGUGAUGAAAACCCAUGACUCGAAAUUGAAUUAAAGUGAACAAUCAUCUGCUUCGUGGACUGGUUUCAUGUAUUAAUGUCUUUUACUUCUCUCUCUUCCUUCGUCUGCAACUUUUCUUUUCUUUGAUUGGAAGCAAAAUAGCAGCAAUUAAGAGUCCAAAAUUUGAAAUAUCUCAACUCCAAAACAGCUCUGCAAAAACAGGGUUUCGUAACAGUAAAGCUAUCGACUAGUAAUCGGAGAUGGAAGAGACGGGAAG
Molecule: unclassified non-coding RNA, 424 nt
Filed under: Hevea brasiliensis (rubber tree)
Lineage: Eukaryota; Viridiplantae; Streptophyta; Magnoliopsida; Malpighiales; Euphorbiaceae
Source: RNAcentral